UACGUAGGGACCAAGCGUUAUCCGGAUUCACUGGGUUUAAAGGGUGCGUAGGCGGGUAAGUAAGUCCGUGGUGAAAUCUCUGAGCUUAACUCAGAAACUGCCGUGGAUACUAUUUGCCUUGAAUAUUGUGGAGGUGAGCGGAAUAUGUCAUGUAGCGGUGAAAUGCUUAGAUAUGACAUAGAACACCAAUUGCGAAGGCAGCUCACUACACAAUCAUUGACGCUGAGGCACGAAAGCGUGGGGAUCAAACAGG
This 253-nucleotide ribosomal RNA is filed under the name uncultured bacterium. RNAcentral's name for it is "partial 16S ribosomal RNA". It matches the Rfam family "Bacterial small subunit ribosomal RNA", at positions 524 to 776 of the family's 1533-position model. The record is from RNAcentral.